UCGUAACAAGGUUUCCGUAGGUGAACCUGCGGAAGGAUCAUUACCGAGUGUAGGGUUCCUAGCGAGCCCAACCUCCCACCCGUGUUUACUGUAACCUUAGUUGCUUCGGCGGGCCCGCCUUUAAGGCCGCCGGGGGGCAUCAGCCCCCGGGCCCGCGCCCGCCGGAGACACCACGAACUCUGUCUGAUCUAGUGAAGUCUGAGUUGAUUGUAUCGCAAUCAGUUAAAACUUUCAACAAUGGAUCUCUUGGUUCCGGCAUCGAUGAAGAACGCAGCGAAAUGCGAUAACUAGUGUGAAUUGCAGAAUUCCGUGAAUCAUCGAGUCUUUGAACGCACAUUGCGCCCCCUGGUAUUCCGGGGGGCAUGCCUGUCCGAGCGUCAUUGCUGCCCAUCAAGCACGGCUUGUGUGUUGGGUCGUCGUCCCCUCUUCGGGGGGGACGGGCCCCAAAGGCAGCGGCGGCACCGCGUCCGAUCCUCGAGCGUAUGGGGCUUUGUCACCCGCUCUGUAGGCCCGGCCGGCGCUUGCCGAACGCAAAACAACCAUUCUUUCCAGGUUGACCUCGGAUCAGGUAGGGAUACCCGCUGAACCUAAGC
This 593-nucleotide unclassified non-coding RNA is filed under the name Aspergillus tamarii. RNAcentral's name for it is "sequence contains 18S rRNA gene, ITS1, 5.8S rRNA gene, ITS2, 28S rRNA gene". The stretch from base 227 to 380 matches the Rfam family "5.8S ribosomal RNA". The record is from RNAcentral. Lineage: Eukaryota; Fungi; Ascomycota; Eurotiomycetes; Eurotiales; Aspergillaceae.